UACGGGGGGAGCAAGCGUUGCUCGGAAUCACUGGGCGUAAAGGGUGCGUAGGCGGCCGUGCAAGUCUGGCGUGAAAGCCCCGGGCUCAGCCCCGGGAAGUGCGCUCGAAACUGCGCGGCUCGAGUGCCGGAGGGGAGAGUGGAAUUCCUGGUGUAGCGGUGAAAUGCGUAGAUAUCAGGAGGAAUACCGGUGGCGAAGGCGGAUCUCUGGGCCUGUUCUGACGCUGAGGCGCGAAAGCUAGGGGAGCGAACAGG
This 254-nucleotide ribosomal RNA is filed under the name uncultured bacterium. Its description in RNAcentral is "partial 16S ribosomal RNA". It matches the Rfam family "Bacterial small subunit ribosomal RNA", at positions 524 to 776 of the family's 1533-position model. The record is from RNAcentral.